This 376-nucleotide long non-coding RNA is filed under the name Anas platyrhynchos platyrhynchos (common mallard). RNAcentral's name for it is "lncRNA (ENSAPLG00000023528.1)". Lineage: Eukaryota; Metazoa; Chordata; Aves; Anseriformes; Anatidae. The record is from RNAcentral.
AAAAUAAGGUAGCUGAAAUAAAAGUAUUUGCUUAAUACCAUAAAUUUUUAAUUAUGUAUUCUGAAUUCUUUCUGAUUAUGGCUAUGUUUCAGGACAGAUGACCUUCCAAAACACACUGUCUAUCUGGCCUGCUAACUGCUUGAAGUUCAGUUUUUGAGGAACACUUCCAUAAGGCGUGCCUGACUGAACCUGCAAGGUGUCUGUAGGAUACCAACCUGUGCUGAGCAGAUGGGAGAGGACCGAUGGACAUGAUUGGGUUGGUGAGGAUGUCAUGAUUACCAUCACUACAGUGUUUCAGAGGACAGCAAGGCUGUGUCCCCUUAGAGCAGACAGGGAAAACUAAGCAGUUCCAGCACGAUUCAUCUCAUCCUAAGGA